GGUGUAGCUCAGUGGUUAGAGCGUCUGCCUUGUAAGCAGUGGGAUACCGAUGAAAAUUUGUAGCAAAUGCAAAGCACUAAAACCUGCUUCCGAUUUCCA
This 99-nucleotide transfer RNA is filed under the name Escherichia coli. RNAcentral's name for it is "tRNA-Thr". The record is from RNAcentral. RNAcentral also lists the same sequence under 21 other names. Lineage: Bacteria; Pseudomonadati; Pseudomonadota; Gammaproteobacteria; Enterobacterales; Enterobacteriaceae.